Molecule: long non-coding RNA, 11747 nt
Organism: Bombus pyrosoma
Lineage: Eukaryota; Metazoa; Arthropoda; Insecta; Hymenoptera; Apidae
Exons: 2
Source: RefSeq, a predicted model, not a curated record
CCUCCCGUUCCCGGUAAUGACAAUCAUUACGGGGAAUGAUUGCAGCGUCGGGUCCGCCAGCGCGCCAGCCGCUAUUGGGGGAUGGAAACCACCUUAUAGAGUCUCUCCUCGGUCCUCGAUGCGAGCGGUUUGUCACAUGCUCCCGACGCGGCGGAGUGUUUCCUUUUCGUCGCGAUUCCUUACGAAUUCGUUACUACGGUGAAAAAAUGCCAUCCUUUUCGCUGAACGAUCGUGUAAGAUGGACAGACGUUGAAGACACGAGCGUUCGAAGUAUGGCCGACGAUUUCGAGCCUCGAACACGUGGAUUUCUAGAAGACUUCUAUCGUGGAGAAAGGUUUACCGAGAUUGGAUUGAAAUUUUUGUGGCUUUUCGAGGUGAUAAUUUGAGAAAUGGAAUUGGAGUAAUGGACUGCGAUGCUGGAUCGAGAAAGUGACGAAUGAAAGACGCGGACGAUGCGACGGUCGCGUGAUGGAAACGUUUCAGUGCGAUACGAGUGCGUCAUCGAAUACUCAGGGUCAGGAUGAUGUAAUUGCUGGAAGAUUUUUUGUAUGGCUCGGCGAAUGAUGGAAAAGUCUUGUGAUAAACAUAGUAAAAUGUAUGCAAAAAGUCUAUACAUGAGAAUCAUCGAGAUGACAGAAGAACAUGGCGGUCAUUCGACCACGUGACUGUUUGUGCGACCAUUUUCAAGGUGCAGCACAGGGACAGAGGAAAAAAGAGAACGAGAACCUUGAACCAAUCGUAAAUGGCGUGGAGUGAAAGCGGUCGGUCUCCGCGGUUUUCCCAGAAGAGCGCGAGCCACGAAAUUAUCGACCUGUAAAUCGGAACGAAGGAUCUCGUUUCUUACUUACCAACGUGGGUAUGAGCUCGCUCUCUGUGCCAGAAGAAAAAGGAAAUAUAAAAGAGAGAACAAAGAUUGAACGUACACGUUGGUCCCGAGACGAAAAUCGUGAAUCUGGUGCGUGCUACGAACGACGAUUCAGACGUUACAAUUUGCUCCUCGCCGCGAACAGCUUUCUGCCACGUCAAUCCUCGCACGUCGAAACGUGGCUCGGUGUUCCCUACGAUUGAUUUACAUCAUCCAUUUGACGGAUUACGAAUAACGAUGUUUAGAUGUUUCAGAAAAUGACUGGCGAGCCGGGUUUGAAGAUUUCUAUCGAGAACAUUAUUGCACAACGCAACCGAGUGAUUGAUGGAGAGCGUGCACUAUUUUCUGACAUGGUUUCGAUGAAAAAAAGUGUCAUUUAUUUCCCCCAGUGAUAACUCUGGGAAUCCUUCCACUUGGAUUAAUGACUAACCAUUAUCGUGCAGACUGUGUAUCAUUUCUUACACUUUAAUUGCGAGUAACUGGAAAAUAAAGCGGUAGCUUCGCCCACGAGAAACCAGAGAGAAAGAGAGAGAUUUAUUCUAUGCCAUUAUAGUAAUGAAAAAACGAGAAAAGGAGCUGCAAUAGACGAGAAAGCGUCGUGGGGUCACACCUUACCCGAUCGAAAAGGAAGAUGAGAUUGAACGGUGACACUCGACGGACAAUACCCCGUGACUCGAUUACACACGAGUACCGUUAAUCAUCCUAAUAGCGUGCGCAUAAUGUCAGAUACGAUCUGCGUUCGCUUGCUACGGUAGAUUCGUGAUGCCACGCUCCUCCAACGAUCGUUCGGCCCACGUGCGACUCGGCGUCGCACAGGAUGAGUCGAAUAGAAAAUGAAAUCAUGCUCCGCCGCUUAGAAGUACGGCUUUAAGAUCGUGAAUGGGCGUACAGAGACAAUCGGAGACGCUAGGCGCCUGAAUUCCGAUUGGACGUUGCCUUCUAAUUGAGUCAUCGUGUCAUUAGCGUUAUAAUAAUCACGGCUCGUAACGAAACGAUCUCUCUUUGUCGACUGUACGCUGGCCUGGAACGCCACCGCCGGGAAAACACAGAGAUCCACCCGAAGAUCGUACGUAGAUCGAUGGCCAAUUAAGCUCAAUUACCGACACGGAUAAUCGGCCACCGUCGGUGAAAGAAUGAUUAUUCCGCGAAUGAUCGGUUAGGAUAUCGACCUUGGCUGAUUUUGCAAGAUCGAUUGCAACGAUAAAGUAGACAGAGGGAGGAAUUCUUGAUCAAGUAGGAAGAACGAUUGGACGGAGAAAGGAGCUUACGAGGGAGAAAAGAGAAUUUCUUAAAUUGAAUUUGCGAUUGCAUUUGAAGAUUUACAUUGCUACAUUUUAUAGCUAUAUCGUACUUGUCUAAUGCAUUGCACAAGAUAGGAAUUAUUCUUCAACGGAUAUGAUAAAUGAUUGAAGAAAGAAGAUCGAAAGGAAGGAUAGUUUCCUAAAUUGAAUAUUCUUGAACGAAUAUGAAAACCGAUUGGUCGAAGAAAGAAGUUGGAAAGAAAGGUAGAAUAGUUUCCUGAACUGAAUUCGCGAUCAUAUUUAGAGGUAUUAAAAUAGAAUUGGUAUACUAUAUCGUAUGUAUUCGUCGAGCCGCCUAUUUCACUGGAAUCCGAACAAAGAGGGCCUCGCAUUUUCGGAACGAGUUACCGGAACAUCGCGUGCCACCGAAAUAUUCUGGAAAUAUGCUAAUUACCAGUUAGUCAGUCAGUUUCUUGUGGCAUUGCGCCCGUUUCUACGAUCGCUAUUGCCUCCUUUCCACGCGGUUCACCUUGUCGAGACGUUUCGUCCCUUCUUUCCUGACUCUUUGUCCCGGUUUUCAGGAUUGUUCUUGUCCUUUGUCCGCCGCGUUCGAUUGUCCCUUCGACGAACAUGCGACAAUUUGACGCCGUUUAUCUUUCAUUCUUUUCCGUUCGAACGGAAGGUUUAGCUUCUUUUUUUAUGGGGAGUUUUAAAGUCAUAAAUAUGGGUCAAAGAAAAAUUGCACCUGUGUCCAAGUGGGUUCUUGGGAACUUCAUGCCAACCCUUGAAUUUUUGUAAAUUACGCAAAGGAAUACUUUACUUCUGUGAACUCUUUCUUAAUAAUCACGAACAUUUGUCGUGAACUUUUUUGAUAGAUAUGCGAUAGACGAGCGAUUUAUUUAAAGAUUUUUGAACUAGAAGCGAAUCGAUUGAACCUUCUCUGUAAUUUUACCGUUACUGUCUGACGAAGUCCUAUUCUACUUUGCACAACUUCAAUCCUCCAUAGCCAUACAUUUUACAGACUCUUUAGACAAAGUGGGUCGUUUAUAUUCAAGUGUAAAUCUUCUAUUGUUCUCGAUUUUCAGAAAACGUACGAAACUUCUGGAAUACUUAUCAGUGUCUCUAUUCUAUUAUUAUACAACGCUACGUUAAAGCAAAUAUUUGAAACUUUUCUUAAUAAAAAUGAAAAAUCUUUUCUCAGAGAAAUUGAAUUGUUCUCGAUGGAUUGAAUAUGCAAGCGUACGACACUCAUAGAACCGGCGAGGUUAAUGAAACUUAAUUUUCUAUUAUCGUGGCAGGCAAAGUGUUAAUUUCUAGUAUUAUGCACUAUAUUUUACUUCUUAUCAGAAAUUGAAAGAUUUACGAAGAGCUAAAUAUUGUGCGCAGCCAGACGACUUUCGCAGAAACAAGAGGGUGAAUAACGGAAAACAUAAGUUUUUAACGUCAUUGAAGGCUAGGUGCUAAUUUGUAAUUAUCGUAUACUAUGUUUUCCUUUUUAUAAUCGAGUUUUCGACUCGUUUUUCAUCGACAGGGAUCGUUGUCAUUGAGAAAGGCCGGCCAACAUCUCGACAGUGUACUUUCUUGCCUCUCUGUUGUGUGCAGUACAAGCGUGCAUACUUUCUGUCUUCACUCCCAUUAAUUAACCACACUGUGUACGCGGUUGUUCUCCUGUUUCGAGAAUGAGGAGCGACCCCUGCGCUGUAUCGCCGGCCUACAACAUCCGCCCUGAAUUAAUUGAAUAUACGGCUCGCGUUUACACGCGAUACGGAGCCAGUCUUUGUAUGUUGACUAAUACGGGGCUUUGGUACGUUGGGGAAAAUUAAAAAUUCAUCGGAAAUCGCGCGUAGGACGGCCUACCUCAUUCCCGCGAAACCGUAGGGUUUCGUGUGAUUCGAGACCCGAGCCGUGGCACCUACACGUUCAGUCUUCCCGCGAAUUCGUUCAGAAAAAACAACAACCUUCUUGGAAACGUGUAUCAUGCGAAUAUUAACAAAUAGAAUGCGGAUUUUUAUGCAUUUAUAAGAAAUUUGAAAAUACGAAAUUGUACGGAGCGCGCGUGAUACGAAGAAAAUAUAUAAAAUAUCGAAAAUAUAGCGCUUUGUAUGAUAUCGAUAGUUGGAACAAUCUUCUACGAAGAUUAACAGAAAAUGCCAAUACGAACCCAAAAUUUAUACGCGUCCUGUUCACUACCAACAUAUUUUUACGUGUCUCGUACAACAAUGAUUUUAUUAUGUUCCGAAUGACGUGAAUUUGCAUGGAAAUGCAGUCAAUUAAUAAACUUUGAACCACGUUUGGGAAGUCGUUCUUCAAAAGGUACGGCUCUGACUUGAUGGCAAAUGCGAAACGAGCGAGUGAAAUCAGGAAAAUUAGACUACCAUAGUCGUUGUAGUAUUCCACCCAUGUUUUUCUCCUUCGAUGUCUGGUUCAUACAAACUCGUCACACCUUCGACCAUUUUCUAAACUUUGUUCUCGAGCAUGUUCGAGUGGUAAAACCGUGACGUUUGCACCUUCGAGUGCAGCAUCGACGGCGGCGCGUAGAGAACAACCGGAAACGAGGGCAGGUCUAUUAUCGCCCCGGAGGUUAUACGAGCUAGCCGAAGUUUCAUCGCCGUGGAGUUCCAGGUACAGCAAUAUGUUGUUUUAUGGUGCAAUCAUCGGCGCGGUAAUAAUCAUUAAAUCCGUUGGCCGAAGCUGUGGGCUCCAGGGUCUCGUGGUCUUUGUCUCUUUCUCUCCUGAACGAGCUCGUCGUUAGGCUCAGAUUAAUUCGUUGAUCCUGAUGUUGUUUCGCUGUUAAAUGAUCAACAAGAAUAAUCGUUUGUUCUAUUAGCUGAAAACAAACUUUCUUACGAAAGAGAAUUUGACUUAAAAAAUUAUCAUUCGAAGAAUUUCUUAACUUUAACUAGCACUAAUACUUUUAUAGAGAGGAAUCGUCGGUGAUGCUGUACCGAAAAAAUCUUCUUUCGUUCACCUUCGUAUUAGGUAGAAGUACGAGAGAUUCCGAGAUAGUUGAUGGGUUAAAAACAGAUUGAAUUUAAAAAGUUGUAGUUUAAACAUGGUUUUGCGUUUAAUUCUUUCGCGAAGAAAUUUCUUCAACGGGCUAAAGGCGCCGGCUAUGAUUGCACAAAAAUCUUUUCUCGUUUAUUUCCUCUAUUAAGGACAGGAAGGGAGAAAAGUAGAAAAUCAGUGAGUUAAAGAAGGAAAGAAGAAAGAUCGUCAUUCGAGUGAUUAUCUUACUUGAUAUUUUUGUGUAGAAAUUUUUCAUCGCUCUAGAGGCGCCAGCGAUGGAUACCAAAAAGUCCUUUUUCUAUAUCGAGAAAAGGAAAGAGAAGGGAGACUACGAAAGGGUUAGUUAGCGAGUUAUAUGAUGGCCAUAAUUGCGGUUUAUUGUCUCAAUAAAUAUAUAUUAUACGACACACGCCGGCUAUGUAUCAAGGCAGAAGCAGCUUGAUCGAACUGCUUCCCGGGAUUUGAAAUCAGACGGCAUGUGUCGGCACAUAUAAGGCGCAGUUUAUGAGUCUGCUUAAUAUGGUUUAUGGUGUUUUGUCCGGCUCUUGUCGACUCCCUACGGAACCGGAAGAUGCCUCCUAACGAUCUACCGAGAGAUGAUGACGAGGAUCAAAUAACGAUGAACCAUCGACAACACGUGUUCUUUAUAUUCAACGAAAAUUAUGUAUGUUUUAAACGUAAUUAUAAAUAUGGAAAAUAUUUUACAAAGGAGGAAUAAUUUAUUCCAAAAACAUCAUGUUACAUUCAAGCAGACGAUACAUCAAUUAUCCUCACCUCAUGAAUCGAUGACAGAAAUUACAGCUUUUUCCAAUGAUGACGUCAAUUUAUUAAAAAAGUAGCGCGAAGAAACAAUUUAACGUCUUUGUGCUUGAUCGAUUGUUGGCCAGGUUACUGAUUCAAACGUACUUACACUCGUAUAUUGUUGCAUAAUAUGCAAUUAAGGAGACAGGAAGCGUGUACAGUUUGCUAUACGUGUUAGUUUCCGCUCUGAAUUUAUCGAUCCUCGCCGUGUCGAUUGAUAAUAUUUACCGAUGAGUUUUACAUUGCAUAAGUUACUAUUUUCACAACUGGCAUGUAUCGUCACGACAGAGCUGUCUAUUGCGCAACGCGAAAUAAUUAACUAAAUAAGCGACGUAAACGUUCUACUUUUCUAAUCUUCUCUAUAGUCGUUUUAUGCCUACAUUUCGUCGAUGAGUGGCCAUUAGAAGUUCAUUAUUCUUAUCUUAAUUACACCAACACGACGAUGGUUCAACAUUGUUGUGCACUUGCUUACCGUGAACCCACGAGUCGUGGGAUAUCGUGUCAUUCCAUUGGUAUAAUCUAAUAAUAAUUCAUAGAACGUAGCCCGUGUCGCGAACGUGACGAUCGGAAGAUAACGAAAAUGAUAAACUAUACCCGUAGCAUCUAGCAAUGAAAGCUGAAAAUUGCACAGUUGUAACAAAACUGUAGAUUUUUAUUCCUUUUCAUCGUAGUAUAGUUAUUCUUUUUAUCAUUGCCUCUAUAGUAGCUUUGUACUGCUGCUAGCAACAUGAUUUUUACUUCAAUCAAGGAUAGAUGAUGUAAGUUCAUAGGUAUACGUAGCGAGUAAACUGUAAAUAUUUAGGACAAUUUAUAUUUUUAUAUAAACGCAAUUGAAGAAAUGAAACCUAAUUUCUUUCGAAUUUCUUUCGACUACUUAAUAUUAUAAACUUUGGACAUUUCAUUAUAUUUUUGCGUGCUCUAAAAUUUUUCAUAAAUACGUAAAAAUCAACAGUUGAGUAAUGAGUCUGAUACAAGAAUGAAAUAACUAUGAAAAUAUUUUCGGGAUAUCUUUGUGACAAUCGAACCAUCGAUGUGCACUAUUGCGCGAUGCAAGUGCAAAUCCUGAAUAUUGUUUGUCCUUUUAGCCUUUGUAUACAAAUUAAGACGUUGCAGGAGAAUCGGAAUGAGUGGUUCAUUAUAGUAAACGCAUUCUUCCAGAUAGCGUAAAAGCGUUAGUCUUGCUGCCGGCUAAUUCCGCUUGAAUUUAACGGCAAGGACAGCCUAAUUGAUCUAUGCAAUUACGUACCGGUGGCGUAAGUGGUGCUAAGUGAAUACCGUGGUAAGCCUUGGUUUCUCGUAAAUUAUCGGACAGCAAUUUGGUGCGCGGAAAACAGAAGUAAAAAGACACCGGUGAAUCCCUUCGAUCGACAGAAAUACACAGCGUGCGAUAAGCCUUUUUGCGCAACUUUUUCGCAUCGUAAACAACAGUUUUAUUAUACCCAUUGGCUAUCACGCUGUUAUGGUUUGCCUAUUUAUCAGAAUCUGCAAUUUCAAUAAGAUCCGCUAUCUUUCAUUUAACAUUCGUAAUUUAUUUUUCUCAAUUUUCUUGUUAUAUUCUUGCGAUUUGUGUUUCGGUAGUACAUGGCGUGCUUGUGACAGUCCUUUGUUCCAUUGCUGAGAAUUUUGAAACCGAACCAGUUCCACAGACCCCUAACAUUAGAGCUCGCCUUAUUUUCUCGUAAUGACAGUCCAUCGAGGAAUGUCUUCGGGUUCGAGAUUUGGAGGUUGAAAUGAAAGACACUCCUUGGAUCGUCCGAUGAUCGUUGAGACUCUUCCUUUACCAUUAUUUAUUCCAAGAGUUGUAUUCGUGUUUGAAAUUUUCUUCCGUUAUUGUCGUGUUAAGCAGACGAUUUUUGUUUAUUAAUAUUGCCAGGAAUAUUUUUCUGUUUCUUUACCAUGACUAUGUAUUUUAUUUAUUCGAACAAAUUAAGCUCGUGUUAAUCGUAUUAAUGAUAAUCGGCGCUAAAUGCAAGAACUUAGCAAGAAAAGAACACCAUAACGGGAGGAGAAGAAUAAUACAUUAACCAUCGCUGGUCGUCGCGUCGGUUGUCUUCAUUUCACGGGGCUUUUUCCAGUAAACGGCAUGAUGGAUGCGACGGCGAGAAUGCAGUCGACGGGACAAGAAGAAGUCCAGCUGUACAUUCUUACAUAACAAUUGCGAAUUCAGCUAAUAAAUUAUAACACGUCCUAAGUGUCUAAGCAGCGAGCGUCUAUCACAAAACCCUUGCGAUAUUGCCAUCCGUCGGAAAAAGGGAAACGUUCACCAGAUAUGGAGCAAAUACCAUUUCCCAGUCAGAGGCCGAAGAAACGAAGAGUGAAAGGGAACUUUCUGAAAUCCUUUCAUUUCAGUAAAAUUGCGGUUUAUUGACACUGAUGAUCUAAAAUUCGCUGCAGCGAAUCGUCGCUAACAAAACGACCGAUAAACGUUUUAUACCUUCGCUUCGUGCUUUCUUCCAGUUUCCCCAGGAAGUAAAUCCAACUUUCCAUCCUCAUGUCGAGGAACCUGGUUCAUAAAAUUUGAUAACCAGAACAUUUGCAUAGACGCAGGAUAAAAAUGGCCUCGCAAUAACGCAACCAAAUAACGCACUGCAAAUUCCGAUUUGAUUUAAACGAAUCAGUCUCUCGGAAUCAGAAUCAGAGCGAACAUAAAAGGAUGAAGAGCCGGCGAGUGCAUCGCGAGAUACCGCUACGUCGAGUUUUAGCACUAUCCCGCGUACCGGGAUUACUUUCCUUUCCCCCGAACGAUCUUUUUCGCGAACGGUGAACGGCACGAUCGAUGGCAACGGAAAAAAUGCGGUCGAUGCAGCAGGAAGGACGCAAGGUGGACACGGUCGAAGAGAGGGUGCAGUAGGGUCGCUGCUUUCCGUGAAUGCCGGCGGCUUCGUUUGAUGGUUUUUACCGAGAGUCCUGGAUACCGCGCGUUCCUAUAGCACGAUUGGCUCCUUCCAUGGGCCCCCGUUCGGUCAUUGGUCCUUUCCAACAGGAUCGUAGGUGCCCGUGGGACGACUUUAAACAGACGUCGUCGCCUUCUAAGUUGUUCUCCGCCGCGAUUCUUUUAUACACGCCAGCUCCGCGAUGUCGUCUAUACGUGCACGGAGAAAACAACCGUCGACAUUCUUCGGGCCACUCGCCGCGGCCAACCUUUACCAAGUUCGACUAUGGCGAAAAUGAAAUAGUGACUGCGUCACGUCAAGCUUUUGACUUUUAUGGGACACGGAUUUUCUCAUCGACGCUGAGAGAGACGCUCGAGCGUGGUCCCUGCUUUCGACGAUUUUGGUCAAUGAGCACGUGGACAUUUAUUCGUAGUGAUCUAAAUCGACGAUAAAUUUCAUUCUUGGAGUAUUUAUUUAACGGUGGAGUAAUCUGGACCUUGGGUGAGGCUAGCAAUUUCUUUAUGGAAAUAUGAAUUACUUUUGUUGGUGAUGUGAUUUGGAUCUAUGCGAAUAUAUUCUUUGUAUCCUUUCGGAAUACUUCGGUGUUCGUUGAAGUGAUCCGGAUCUUGGCUGUUGUUGGGUGAAAUAGAAAUUUCUUUGUAAAUGUAUAUAUGAUUUUAUCAAAGUAUUUAUUCGAUGGAAUAAUGUAAAUCUUUGGUGCUGUUAAGGAGGCGUAGAGAUUUCUCUAUAAACAUAUAAUCGAGUUUCCUUGAAAUAUUUAUUCAACGGAGUACGCAAUUUGGGUGAUAUUGGGUGAGGCUGAGAAUUUUAGAAACAUAUGAAUGUUAUUUUUAACUUUCUCUAUUUAUAUUAAUAUACCAGAUCUUAUGCUUUAAAUUAAAGUUUUCGAACGUGAAGUCUCCCACGUAAUUAAAAUUUUCGAUGGAAAAUUUGAUAGUCGAAAAGUACGAUAUUUGCUUCGUGGAAGUUGAUUAUAUUCGGAAUAAGCGUUCGAGCGGUUCUGGUAAAUUGUAAACCGCUUGAUGUUAUGAAAAGGAAGUACAUAAUGAGGGUUAUUGCUAGCAAUCGACUACUCGAUAUUCCGUUCUGCAUUAAGACACGGAAUUAUGUUUAAAAUCGAGCACCCAAUUAGCCGAGGUGCAUGCCAUUAGGUCCAUUCUGACGAAUCAGGCUAACAUCGUUCGAUUCUGUGUCUAUAAAUCGUAACGUUAGAGGUUCUUUCGCGAUACUUAAAGCGCAGUUUCGUUAACGGAACUUCGAUCAAAGUCUCAGACGCGAAUAUGACUCGUAUAUGCGGGCCAUGGUACUUGGAGGUUUUAUGGAGUGCCGUAUAAAGUGGGAUAAAGCCUCUGUUCCGCCGGCACGAACCGAUUCUGGUAUGCACGAGAGUUUGGUUCGCCACUUCCUGAAGAGAUGGCGCCACCAUAGCGGUCGAUACGUCUUUCAUAGUUCUUCGUGUACCAAGGUUAAAGAAACGGAACUGCCUACGAUGAAGAUAUCGACGAAAAUGCUACGAUCGUUUAAAAAUAACGAGAAUUAAUAAUCGUAAGUGGUUGUCCCACGUCAAAGAGAUAAUUUGUUACAUUUUAAUCGCGAUAUAAUAAAUAUUACAAGUCGUACGAUACUUUAACAUUAUUAUAUUGUAUGCAUAAAGAAAGUCGAUGUGAACGGAUCGCGUUUGAUGUUUUCAGUUUCCAUGUUGUUUAUUUGUUUUCGCGUGUGUUCAGCUAAUGGCUGGAUACACGCUUGAUAAUGCCUUUAUAUGGCCCGAUAAAGCUCAUAUAGCUUUUAGCAAUGAAAUCAUAAUCGCGCGCGAUCGCCCGACACGAUGUAUUAACUACAUGCCAGCCCUGUUUGUAGCUACACGAAGACGCAUAAACGGUUCUAUUAAUUAUGUAGAUGAUGCUGUUGCGUCACGGAUCGACGCUGAAAACACUCGACCGAUUCCCAUAUACAUCUACAUGCGCGGUAUACAGAAGAGAACGAUGCCUGAUAUUCCUCCGAGAGAAAUGGCUUGAAGAAGAAGAGGAUUACCAGGUAGUUAUCCCUUAAAUGAACAGUUUUAUAACAAAACUCGAUAUCAAAAGUGGAAAUCUUGGCUACAUAUUUCUAACGUACAUCUUCGUUUCUACCAAUCGAAGAUAUCCUUAGAUAAUCCUACGCCUCAUUUGUGUAGUUAAUUGACAGCUAUCAAUUUAUGAAAUUGCUAUAUAAAAUCUAGGAACCAGGUACGUUUCAAGGAAAUCUCGAUGGUACGGAGGAAGACGGUAAUAUGUCAAUUAGAUUUUAAUGAAAAGCCUUGAGAAUUGAUUAGAUCAUCGGUCUUGAGAACUUUACGUAUGCCAACGGUUGGUUAUCAGGUAUUUUCAAUUCGAGAUGAGCAACGAAGACGUAAAUCAAGCUCGGAGCUUGAGAAUUUUGUUGGACGUCAAGUUGUUACGCGGAAAGUACUAAACACGUUGAUGAAGUGCUUACAAAACGUUGUCCAGAAGAGAGACAGAAAGGUAGAGGGGAGGAGGAGGACUCCCCUUGCUGUUCCUUCAAUUCAAUUGAAUUCUAUUCCAGCGUGCAGUUGAUAUCAUUGAGGUCGCCACUUAAAUCCUCAUUGUCGUUCGUCGCUUAUUGUUUCACCCUUCGUUCGGCUACCAACGAAUGUACAUACGUACGUUUCUCUUUCACAUCCGUACCCGCACCUCUAACCGAUCUAAAGGAGAGCCAGACUCGAGGGUCCAACCAGCUAAGAAUUGAAACUGUCGUUGCGGAUCGGAAAAUGACCGCUCUGGAUAAAUUACACGGGUUAGGAACACAAUUAAAUGAAUUUAAAAUUGAUACAGAUUUCAUUAAUCUACUGAAAAUGUGAUGCAAAACAAUUUUUUAGAAUGUACUAAAAGUUUUAAGCGAGAUUAAAAUACAGAAGAGUUUCAUUUCGUACGAUAACUA